This 251-nucleotide unclassified non-coding RNA is filed under the name Dothiora prunorum. Its description in RNAcentral is "partial internal transcribed spacer region". The stretch from base 1 to 46 matches the Rfam family "Eukaryotic small subunit ribosomal RNA", at positions 1786 to 1831 of the family's 1831-position model. Lineage: Eukaryota; Fungi; Ascomycota; Dothideomycetes; Dothideales; Dothioraceae. The record is from RNAcentral.
AAGUCGUAACAAGGUUUCCGUAGGUGAACCUGCGGAAGGAUCAUUAAAGAGUAAGGGUCUCUGGCCCGAACCUCCAACCCUCUGUUGUUAUAACUACUUCGUUGCUUUGGCGGGACCGCGAAGGUUCUCCCGAGCGCGCCGGUCUUCGGACAGGCGAGCGCCCGCCAGAGUCUAACCAAACUCUUGUUUUAUCAUGUUGUCUGAGCACUAUUUAAUAGUUAAAACUUUCAACAACGGAUCUCUUGGUUCUG